This 646-nucleotide long non-coding RNA is filed under the name Pan troglodytes (chimpanzee). RNAcentral's name for it is "lincRNA". RNAcentral also lists the same sequence under 1 other name. Lineage: Eukaryota; Metazoa; Chordata; Mammalia; Primates; Hominidae. The record is from RNAcentral.
CACUCAGCUUUCUGAAAUGGUGUCCCACCGCAAGGACUGGAGAAGGGCUGGAGUCCAAUGGUGCGAUGUCUGCUUACUGCAACCUCUGCCUCCCGGGUUCAAGCGAUUCUCCUGUCUCAGCCUCCUGAGGAGAUGGGACUACAGGCACCCUUGGAAAUGCAAUGCUACAUCUCAAUGGGAUUUUCCAGUACAAAGAUUCUUUUCAAAUAACAUAAUUGUGGAUACACACCACUCCUACAGUGGUAAACCUCAGGUUCUCCUCCUGCCUUUUGCUAAGUAUAUGUCUUGAUGACAAGCCUUCUGCUGAUGAGCUGUGUUUCUGGACCGAUCAUGGUAGAAGUCAAUUAACGUGUCCCUCACUUGGGGUUUCUCAAGGCUGCACUGAUGAGGAAACUGAAACAGAAAAUCCAGAGUAAAUUCCACCAGGCCACACAGCAAGGUCUGAUAGAGCCAGGAGAGACUUUAUGAAAUCCAGACUCUCACACUAAUGCUCUAUCAGCUAGACCUCCAUGUGAGUCUCCCCAAUGUAGGUAGGAAGUGCUUUCCCUAAAAUGCUCAUAAAGCAAAUCAGAGCAAUGCUGCAUUCCAUGUGAUUUCUAAUUUGAAAUGCAAACAAUUGCCAAUUUGUUUGACUUGUAUUUAUAAU